AAAGGAUUAGUUUAAUAAAACAUUAGUUUGUCAAACUAAAGAUAUUUCCAUGAAUAUCCUUUG
Molecule: transfer RNA, 63 nt
Filed under: Tapeinus singularis
Lineage: Eukaryota; Metazoa; Arthropoda; Insecta; Hemiptera; Reduviidae
Description: tRNA-Asp
Rfam family: tRNA
About the family: Transfer RNA (tRNA) molecules are approximately 80 nucleotides in length.
Source: RNAcentral